AGGAGCGGCGGCGGCCGCAGCGCGGGGCCGGGGGUCUGUGCCCGCAGCCCCGCGGCAUCACCCCCGCCGAGCCCCCGGGGCUGCCGGAGGCACCGAGCCCCGCCGGCGGCAGCCGGCCCCGGCGCACCGAGCCCCCGCUCCACCGGCGCUGCUCCGGCGGGGAUGGAUCGCUGGUUUUCGUUUUCUGGCUUUUUUUUUUUUUUUUUUUUUUCCCGAUUGAUGUUGGUUUAUUUUUUUCUUUUUCUCUUUUUUUUUUUUUUUUUUUUUAAUAAGGGCUGAUUUAUUUUUUUUUUCCGGAGGGGUAAGCAACGAGUUGAUAAAAUUAAACCCCUCGCGGUGCCAUUAAAUCGAAACCGGGAUGCGAAGCGCCGCGGCUGCGCUAGAAACUUGUUGGGGCCGGAGAAGCGGCUCCGCAGGGCCGGGGAGCGGGGAGCGGGGAGCGGGCGGCGGCGGGCAACCGGCUCGGUGCCCGUGUGUCCUUGUUUUCCAGGCUCCAGCCGGAUUCCUCCUGGAAGAUCCCGCGAGCCCGGGAAGGGAAUCUCCGCUCCUGAUUGUCCAAACGCAAUUCUUGUGCGAUGGAGCCGUACGAACCAAGAAUUGUGUCUGGACAUCUGUAGCAGAGAUUUCAACUCCACCGGCGGGGCUCCAGGAAGGUGCUUUGGGGCGGAGGAAGAAGGACGGACCUUCCCCGGGCUCGGGGCACCGCAAGCCAGCUCCAUCACCUGGAAUUCCCUCUCUGCUACCCCGGCCCAGCAAAGCUUAUGGCUGCAGACUCAGGACAGAGAAGAGCCUUUGGCCCGUCCAUGUCAUUUACAAACGGCGCAAGCUGGACUCGAGUUGCUGCGGCUGGAUUUGGAAAAGGCUGAAUAUUGGUUCGUUACCAGCAGCGGGCUUGAAGUUAGGGUUUCUCAGAUGCAGCAGCGUCGGAGUCCGUGGGUGCUUUUAG
This is a long non-coding RNA of Accipiter nisus (Eurasian sparrowhawk), 946 nucleotides long. Lineage: Eukaryota; Metazoa; Chordata; Aves; Accipitriformes; Accipitridae. The record is from Ensembl.